Molecule: long non-coding RNA, 1021 nt
Organism: Branchiostoma floridae (Florida lancelet)
Lineage: Eukaryota; Metazoa; Chordata; Leptocardii; Amphioxiformes; Branchiostomatidae
Exons: 2
Source: RefSeq, a predicted model, not a curated record
UUCCUUUGCCUAUUUUUUUCAAAACACGAAAUGAAUAUGCAUUCAAUUAGCCAAUACACAAGUCAUAUCCGUGUUCUAAUAUAAACAACAGUUUGAUUUACCGACAAUUAAAAAAUAGCCCCAAGUAAAAAAUGACGCGUAGAAGGCCACCCCUCCAUGGAUGACAUCGUGAAGCAGUUGUGUAACAAAGCAUCACAUCUCCGGGACUGUCGCUUGUGCAACAGGAGCUGAACACCUGCCAAGAUUUGGACUGAGUUUUCUGUUAAUCAUCAAAGACAGGAACAUCACCAGUAUGGCCGAACAGUUGUCCGAACUGGCCAGCACUGUCUCCGGUCUGGUCAGCACUGCCCAGGGGCAUGGUGAGGAGCUGGAGACCAUCAGUAACACCCUGGCCUCAGUAUUCGGCUUCAAGAAAGACAAAUCUGGAGAAAAGUCUGAGGAACAAGGGGAAGAAGGAAAAGAUGGAGAGGAAGAAAACGGUGAUGAUGAUGAGGGGACAUCAUGAUGGCGGAGGUACAAGUUGGCAGUGAUCCCUCGGCAUCUUCUACACAACUCAUUGUCUAUACUUUUUAUCUAUUUAUGCAUCUUAAGGGUAGUCCCAACAAGACUUCUAUUAAAAAACAACGCACAUGUAGAUGUCAAAUAUAGAGUCGGAUGAGAAAGUUGUAUACGGUGAGCAAUGUGCUAGUGGUGACAGAGAAAUGGACUAUACAAUGAACAUACUAUACACAAGUGUAGCAGGGUGGGAUAACUAAAACCAUGGAAUUCAUCUAUUCAGCACCUUGUAGACCGCUGACGAUCAUUGAUUGGUCAACUGUAAAGCUGCCUUCCCUUACAUCAAAAUCAUCACCAGACAAUGAGGCACACAAGAUACAAGAAACUAAUGUGAAGUGAGAAAACUUUCUUUAUUUUUAGUCAUAAAGGAACAAAGUUAAUUUAGAACUUAACAAUCUAGGAAACUACAUAGUAAAGUAAUAUGACCAUCUAUGUUGGAACAAAUAAAGAAAAGAUGUGAAACUGA